RNAcentral lists this long non-coding RNA (251 nucleotides) under Elaeis guineensis (African oil palm). RNAcentral's name for it is "long non-coding RNA (EGUI_LNC060683)". The record is from RNAcentral. Lineage: Eukaryota; Viridiplantae; Streptophyta; Magnoliopsida; Arecales; Arecaceae.
UACUGGAGAAGCCCGAUCAUUGACGAAGUUCAGAAGAAGUUCGGAAUAGAAAUUUGGCUGGUGGAGCCCGUUCGUUGUAGAAAUUCGUCUGGAAUCCAUACGCAGUAGAAGUUCGACUGGGAUCCGACUCUUGUAAGAGCUCGGAUAAAGUCUGGAAGGUGGUCGACCACCGUAGAAACUUGGAUGGAGUCUGGUUACUGUAGGCAUCCUACUGUUGGAGAAGCUCGAAAAGCAUUUGGAGCAGCCCGGUA